This is a long non-coding RNA of Pelmatolapia mariae (spotted tilapia), 6770 nucleotides long. RefSeq lists it as uncharacterized. The record is from RefSeq and is a predicted model, not a curated record. The transcript is spliced from 5 exons. NCBI's taxonomy places the organism in Eukaryota, Metazoa, Chordata, Actinopteri, Cichliformes, Cichlidae.
AGUGUGUGUGUAGGAGAGGAGUCGAGCAGAGAGAGCUACUUUUGCAUGAAACGGGAGUAAAGUAUUGAACUUAGAGAAGAGACACAAACUAAUGUAUCGAUCAUAUACCACUACCAACGUUUGGAUCGAUAUCUGCAUCGAUCUGCCCACCCUUGUCUCCUGGAUCGUAGCUGAGAUCAGCGUGAACCACGUGGGUCUCUGCUCCCUGAUCUGUUUGCUGUGUUUGGAAAGAGUUCCAGCUUCAUCACGGAGUUUCUCUCGGUUUGUGGGCUCAUCUAAAGCUGAUCAGCAGGAGGAGAAGAGUCUGACGGAGCACCAGACGAACAUUUUCAACCAUUUGGACUCAGCUCAGCUGCUACAGUGGACAAAAAUGUCAUCAACACAAAAGGGUCCACGCCUGAUAGCAUCAGCUUUUCCACCAACUGCUGCAGAAUGAUCGUGUUAAAAGCUGAGCUGAAGUCGAUGAAAAGGACUCUGGCAGAGCGGUGUUCUUCCUCUCCAGGACCAACAUGGAGCGAGAAGUCAGCGCUCUCAGGAGGCCGACAAACCUCACAGAAGAAAGGGAGAGAAAAAAUACAGCUGUGAUGAGUGUGGGAAGAAUUUUAACCAGUCUGGAAAUUUAAAAAAACACCAACUCAUCCACAGUGGAGUUAAAGCGUACAGCUGUGACUUGUGUGGAAAGUCUUUUAACCAGGCUGGAAAUUUAAAAACACACCAACUCAUCCACAGUGGAGUUAAAGCGCACAGCUGUGACUUGUGUGGAAAGUCUUUUACCCAUGCUGGAAGUUUAAAAACACACCAACUCGUCCACAGUGGAGUUAAAGCGUACAGCUGUGAGUUGUGUGGAAAGUCUUUUACCCAUGCUGGAAGCUUAAAAACACACCAACUCGUCCACAGUGGAGUUAAAGCAUACAACUGUGAUUUGUGUGGAAAGUCUUUUACCCAUGCUGGAAGCUUAAAAAGACACCAAAUCAUGCACAGUGAAGUUAAACCAUACAAAUGUGAUUUGUGUGGAAAAUCAUUUACCUCGGCUGAAACUUUAAAACAACACCAACUCAUCCACAGUGGAGUUAAACCGUACAGCUGUGACUUGUGUGGACAGUCUUUUAACCGUCCUGGAAACUUAAAAACUCACCAACUCAUACACAAGGGAGUUAAAGCGUACAGCUGUGACUUGUGUGGAAAGUCUUUUACCUAUGCUGGAAGCUUAAAAACACACCAACUUGUCCACAGUGGAGUUAAGGCAUACAGCUGUGACUUGUGUGGACAGUCUUUUACCCAGGCUGGACACUUAAAAACACACCAACUCAUACACAGUGGAGUUAAAGCAUACAACUGUGACUUCUGUGGACAGUCUUUUAACCGUCCUGGAAACUUAAAAACUCACCAACUCAUACACAAGGGAGUUAAAGCGUACAGCUGUGACUUGUGUGGAAAGUCUUUUAACCAGUCUGGAAAUUUAAAAACACACCAACUCAUCCACAGUGGAGUUAAGGCAUACAGCUGUGACUUGUGUGGAAAGUCUUUUACCCAUGCUGGAAGUUUAAAAACACACCAACUCGUCCACAGUGGAGUUAAGGCGUACAGCUGUCACAUUUGUGGAAAAACCUUCCGCAGACUAGCCAGCCAAAACAUUCACCUACGCAUUCACACCAACAAUGAUGUUUACUGCUGUGAUCAGUGUGACAAACCUUUUGUGACAUACAAAAACUUACAGCAGCACAUGUUUACCCACACUGAGGAGAGACCUUAUAAAUGUGACCUGUGUGAGAAGACUUUUAAAUCUCCACUUAACCUCAAAUCACACCAAAAGAUUCACACCAGGGAGAAACUUUAAAAGUGCAGUUACUGUGAGAAGCAGAGCGACACCACAGUUCUCAACCCUGUCAUCACUGUGGUGGUGGGAAAGAGUUUCUCUGUGACCUUUGUGGAAAAACUUUCAGUCAUCAAGAGAACAUAAAACAACAUCAACUCAGACACACUGGAGAGAAAUGUGGGAGAGGCUUCCCUAAACCAAGUGAAUUAAAACAAAAUGAACUCUGUCACAGCGGGGUCAAAAAGCAUCUCUCAUUCACCACUGCGGAUCAUCUUAAAGUGCAUGAAAGAGUCCACACAGGAGAGAAACCAUACAAAUGCAGACACUGUUAGAAAAGCUUCUCACUGUCAGGGAGUCGUAACAAACAUGAACAUGGAGGGGAAACUACAGCUGUGACCAGUGUGGCUGAUCUGGGUGUGGGCUGUACUUUGGUGUAUUACCACCUUAAACAGCUUGAUCUUUUUGUGGUUUCAUUGACUCAGUUAUGUCAGAUUUCCUCUCUGUCCUGGUCUGGAUGCUCAUCUGUAAAGAAGUAAAACUCAAAUUGUUCAUUGGUCUCUAGCAGCUGAUUGGUGAGCCAGCACUUCUGUGCAGCAUGCAGUUGUGCUUCUUUUCCUCUUGUGUCGACUCAGCUCAGUUACUCGGUUAGAGGGUUUCACCUACACAUGAAUCCUUCCUGGAUUCAGUGUUUUGGUAUGAGGUGUUCUUGGGAAGACGUCACACCACCACCACUGUGUCAGGCUGUUCCUGUGAUGUUCUUUUAAUGCCACGUGUAACGGGACUCAAAUCUCUCAAAAAAACUACAGCUUCUGUCUCAUCUACCAACAAACAUCUGGAUGAUGUUUGUUGGUAGAUGUGAGAUGAGACUUUCUGUUGUUGAAUCUCUCCCAUGGAGAGUCUCUUUCCCAGUCUCUUUCUUAUUGCUGAACCAUAGGCCUGCAGGUUUUUAGAUAAUGAUCUGGGUUCUUCAGUGACCUCCUGGAUUAGUCAUCUAUGCACUCUUGCAGUAUUUCUAGUCAGCCGGUUGCUCCUGGGAGAUUUGAGUACUCUUCCAUUUUUCCUGUAAUGUGGAUAAUGACUCGUGGUUCACUUGAGUCCCAAAGAAUUAGAAAUGACUGUGCAACCUUUUCAUACUGAUGUCAGUGACUUUGUUUCUCUGCUGCUUCUUUUGAUCGUAGCAUGAUGUGCUGCUGUGUGAGAUCUUUCAGCCUGCUUCCAUACAUGGUCAGGUUGUUUUUCAUACCUUUUUACCCUUAACAAAUUAAACCAUUUACAGACUAUUUUCCAUUGACCCAGGUAACCUUUGUCAUAUUUCUUUCCUUUUUGAUCAUCUGAAACAUUCAAAUGUUGAGUCCUUCAGGUGUAACCUUGACUGUUUACCCAGUUGCAGCUUAAGCUAGGCUUAAUUCUUCCUUUUUAUACUACUGCUUAGUCACAACCAGCUGUGACAAUGUUUACGGCUGGUUUGGUUCAAGUGCCAGUUUAGUAAAUAGGAGAGGGCUCUCAAUCCCUGCAGUGCAUAAAAGUUUGAGUUCUCUGUCAUUGCUCACUUUCUGUAAGAAUGUCAUGGUCCUGGGUCUUUUGACCCAGCGUUUUGUGUUUUCUAUUAUUGUGAUAUAUUUUGGUUCUGGUUUUCUAUUUCUUUGGGUUUUGGUUCUGUUCUUCCUCAGUUUAGUAUUUAGGCUUUUCUGCCUGCGUAUUCCUGUGUCAAGUCCGGGUUUCUUAGUCUGUGUCUUUGCAUGAGUGAGUUCCUGUUUUAUUUUGUAGGUCUGUGUCUCUCGUCAGUGCUUCUAGUUUCACUCCCCUUGUCUCAUUAUGUCCAAUUACCCCCAGCCGUGCCUCCGUCUGUGUCAGGUCUGUUUUUGUUUAGGUAACUCCCUGUUCUGGGCCCUGUUUCAGAAAGCCGGUUUAGAAAACUCAGAGUUAAAAAUGAUACUCAGGGUUGAGUAACCCCGAACUGUCCAACUCGGAAUAUUCGGUUUCAGAAAGGCUGAUAACAAUUAGUUCAAUCAACGCGGAGUUGCUUUAACCCCAAGUUAAGCGCGCGCAUAAAGCCCUGAUUAGUGGAGCACAGAUUAAGCGAGUCACCAUGGAGACGGAGGGAAAGAAGGCGCGGUCAAUGUAUUUUACAGCGCUUGAGGCCGAAAUUCUGAUGGCAGCAUAUGCCGAUAACAUGCAAAUUUUGCGGAAAAAAAGUAACACAGCCUCAGCUGCAAAAGAAAGGGAGCAUGCAUGGCAAAACAUAGCCGACAGAGUCAGAGUCAAUGCGUGAGUGUUAAUUUAAACAUUGAUCUAGGGAUUUCCACCCAUUUAACACGUUAUUUUAUUAUAUUUCAUUUUAUUUUUUGUUUUAUACAUUUUAUUUUGUGAUGUGAUGUGAGCGCAGGUGCAACCCAACAGGCCCCAAACGUUCCUGGCAGCAAGUAAAAAUGAAAUAUAAAAAUAUAGUCCAAACAGGUGUAAUUGUAUUAUGAGCCAUAGUGCUUGGUCUGUUUGUCCUAUGUAAAUCAAUUGCAGUUAGAGGCUACAUUAAUUUUCUUUCUGUAAGCACUUAUUGAAAUUAUCUGAGCACAUUACAAGUACAUAUUUGCUUACUCAGUAUGCUCAAAUGUGACCCGUUAUAGCCAACAGAAAAAAAGCGGAGGCCCGAAAAACAGGUGGGGGUCCUCCACCACCACCACUCACAGAGGCGGAGCAGUUGGCCCUCAGCCAAAACAGUGGGCGCCCUGUGGCUGAAGGCAUCUCUGCGGGGACAUCCUCUGAGUCAAUAACCCCGCAAGACACAAGUGCCUACAUAAGAGGUAAAUUACUGUAUUCCAUUACUUUAAUGAAAUAAUUUGUUAGUUUGAAAUGCUACAGGGAACUAUGUACCUGUACAUUAAUGCUGUGGAAAGACUUCCUGUUCACAUAGUCUCCUUCAUUUACUGAAGGAGCAAUGAUUGGAAUGUGAGUGCCAUCUAUACAGCCAAUCACGCCUGGGAACCCUGAAAAUAAAUGUAAAAUCUAAGUAGUAGUUCAAGUAUCACCACAUCAUGAAUUAAGUUUUGUUCAUCCUGAUACCUGCAAUUUUGUGGAAUCCCUCUUUGAUAAAUCGUGUGGGUCUAUGACCGGGGAACACCACAAACGAGUACAGGAGACGUUUCAGUGCAACUGUAACAUUCCUGACUGCCCGACAGACGGUAGCCUUGGAAACGUGCUCAGCGUCACCAAUAUUAUACAGAAAGCUCCCGUUUGCAAAAAAACGAAGUGCAAUACAAAUAAUAUGUACAGAACUGAGAGAAUGUCCGCGCAUGUCUCACAUGAGCAAUAUAAGGCCUGAGGAUGUUAUUCAAAUAAAUUAUAGAUUGUGCUGACAAACGGUAACGUUCACACAGAAAAUCAUCAGGAAAUGAUAAAAUGUCCAAACGCGCUCUAAUCACUCUCUCCCGGCGGAGAGCUCUGCGGAGAAUUUGGGCUUCAACAUCUACUGGCUCUUCAAGGAAGGGGCACGCCAUGUCUGACACUUCCUACAGUCAGGUUUCCGACAAAGAGGCGGAGACAGUCAGGGUUAGUUGAAGUAAACCUGCUAGGGGGCAGGUUAGCUUCACGGAGUGUGUCGUCAUAGUAACUCACUCAGAAUUAAUCUAAACUCGCUUUGUGAAACCGAAAACCCAGAGUUUUUGUUAACUCAGGGUAUACUUACUCAGAGUUUGCACUAAACCGGCUUUCUGAAACAGGGCCCUGUUUUGCCACCCUCGCCUUUGUUUGUUAUCUCACUGUCAAUAAAGCUUCCUCACCUCAGUUGUGCUGCAUCCUGGGUCCUUUAAUAACUUACACCUGGCUCGCGUCGCGAACCGUGACAAAGAAAGCAUGUUAUCCUCAGGCAGAGCUGCAGACGAUCAAGAAUCCAUAACUACUGGAUGGUGGACAUUUCUCCAAGCAGACAGUCAGUUCUUGGGAUGCAAGCUGGAUGUAGUUUUACAACCUUUAACUUAAUCUCUGUGUGUUUUUAACAUCUUAUACUCUGGUUUAACUUUUAAACAACCUGAUCAAUGAAAGCACAUCAAAUAACUCCUGUUUGUCAUCAGCAGUGGCUUUAGGAUCAUCCUCACCUGCUCAUGGUUGCAGUUGUUUAUCGGUGUGCUAAUAGACAUGAAUUGGCAUUUACUUUAUAGUGUGAUAAGAUGUUAAUAAGCUUAUAAAGCUGUAAAGCCUCUUAUCACCUCCUUCCUCACUGUGAUGCUCAAUGUGAACAUCAGGUUGUCUUGAUGAUGUCUACGUGAGUUUCUUCAAUAUUAUUGGUUAAUUAGAUAUUUCGAUUGAUAAGCAUCUGAAAUUGUGGACCUACUAAAGUGACCAGUGAGUAUACAGUCUGGUUAUAUCAAUACUACAAUCUAAAUAUCAGGAGAGCAAAUCAAUAUGCUUUCAUCAUGUUUAACUUUGUUCACAUGCACUGAUGAAUGUACAGCUGAUGGCUGUAGCAUAAAACCCACUGUAGAAAACAGUAUUCUUUAUCAGGAAACAUUAAAUACUGAGUGUUUCCUCCCCACUACAGUUGUGAUAUAUCUUGAACUUCUCACAGUCCUUCAAUCAUUCCACCAAAACACUGAUCCUGAAAUCCCUGACACGUCCCUGUACAGCACAAACCCCCACCCCCCACCCCAAUAACCAUCUAAAUUAUGUUUCGUGUAAUAAAAGUAGUAAAGGGAAAAAACUUUCAACACUAGAACAGGAGGGGUCCUUUUCACAUCGGACUAAAACAGCAGCUGUAACUUGUAUUUACUCAAAUUACUUCAGGUCUACACAGACCUCCCUCUCCCCUCACCACCUCCUGAGUAUGCAGGGGAACACCAAGGCGUUCCCAUAUAAAAGCCACUUCACCAAUAACUGGUUUCAGCUUCUACCUUGUGACAGGAAUGUUCUUUCACCUCAAAAUGACUUGAUACAAAUCAUGAGACACAUGCUUGACAGAUUA